GAAAUAGCUUUUUGCUGCCAUGACCUCUUUUGCUGCUGUUUGAUAUCCUUGAUAUGAAAAAUGUGAAUGGAGACGAGCACCCCAUUAACCAGCAGCUCUUAGGCAGCAUUGCUUGUUGGAGGUAUCUUUUCACAGAGAUGCCAUUUGGAGUAGCUACUUUGAGGACAAGAGACAAAAAGCCUGAGGAGAAAGUCACCAUGAAGGAAACAGAAAGAUUAAACAGCAUGCGUGAUCUUUGAUUCAGAGUCCCCAUCUCACCCUGGACUGCCUUCCUUUGGAAUUCCCUUGUGGAAAAAAAAAUUAAACUCUUAUUUGGUUAAAUAAUUAUAGAGUCUCACUCUGUUGCCCAGGCUGGAGUGCAAUGGCGAGAUCUCAGCUCACCGCAACCUCUGCCUCCCGGAUUCAAGCUAUUCUCCUGCCUCAGCCUCCUGAGUAGCUGGGACUACAGGUGUGUGCCACCACGCCCGACUAGCUUUGGUAGAGACGGGGUUUCACCAUGUUGGCCAGGCUGAUCUCGAACUCCUGACUUCAGGUGAUCUGCCCACCUUGACCUCCCAAAGUGCUGGGAUUACAGGUGUGAACCACCAUGCCCG
This 593-nucleotide long non-coding RNA is filed under the name Homo sapiens (human). Its description in RNAcentral is "HSALNT0359109". Lineage: Eukaryota; Metazoa; Chordata; Mammalia; Primates; Hominidae. The record is from RNAcentral.